UACAGAGGGUGCAAGCGUUAAUCGGAAUUACUGGGCGUAAAGCGUGCGUAGACGGUUAUGUAAGUCAGAUGUGAAAGCCCCGGGCUUAACCUGGGAAUGGCAUUUGAGACUGCAUAGCUAGGGUGCGGAAGAGGGAAGCGGAAUUUCCGGUGUAGCGGUGAAAUGCGUAGAUAUCGGAAGGAACACCAGUGGCGAAAGCGGCUUCCUGGUCCAGCACCGACGUCAGGCACGAAAGCGUGGGGAGCAAACA
This 250-nucleotide ribosomal RNA is filed under the name uncultured bacterium. RNAcentral's name for it is "partial 16S ribosomal RNA". It matches the Rfam family "Bacterial small subunit ribosomal RNA", at positions 524 to 774 of the family's 1533-position model. The record is from RNAcentral.